RNAcentral lists this long non-coding RNA (226 nucleotides) under Helianthus annuus (common sunflower). RNAcentral's name for it is "sRNA HanXRQr2_Chr04g0169771". Lineage: Eukaryota; Viridiplantae; Streptophyta; Magnoliopsida; Asterales; Asteraceae. The record is from RNAcentral.
UUCUUCUUAUUUCUACCGUUCAUUUUUCUUCUUAUUGCUGCUAUUAGUGUUUUAAGUCUUAAUUGUUAGUUGUUACUGUUAAAUGUUAGUGCGUACUUUUCAUAACCAAUUUUAUGUUGAGAACUGUGUGUACUGUGUAGUUGUGUAAUGCAUAAAACACCUGCGCAUAGUGCAUUGAUGAUUUAAUAAGACAGGGGGAUAAGCGGUUAUAUAACCGCAUUCUGUA